GCUCGUGUCGUGAGAUGUUGGGUUAAGUCCGCAACGAGCGCAACCCUCGCCUUUAGUUGCCAUCAGGUUAAGCUGGGCACUCUAAAGGAACCGCCGGUGACAAGCCGGAGGAAGGUGGGGAUGACGUCAAGUCCUCAUGGCCUUACGGGUUGGGCUACACACGUGCUACAAUGGCAGUGACAGUGGGUUGCGAAGCAGCGAUGCGGAGCCAAUCCCAAAAGCUGCCUCAGUUCGGAUUGUUCUCUGCAACUCGAGAGCAUGAAGGCGGAAUCGCUAGUAAUCGCGGAUCAGCAUGCGCGGUGAAUACGUUCCCGGCCUUGUACACACCGCCCGUCACACCAUGGGAGUUGGUUUUACCCGAAGCCGGUGCGCUAACCGCAAGGAGGCAGCCGACCACGGUAAGGUCAGCGACUGGGGUGAAGUCGUAACAAGGUAGCCGUAGGGGAACCUGCGGCUGGAUCACCUCCUUUCUAAGG
Molecule: ribosomal RNA, 476 nt
Filed under: Oleomonas cavernae
Lineage: Bacteria; Pseudomonadati; Pseudomonadota; Alphaproteobacteria; Acetobacterales; Acetobacteraceae
Description: bacterial SSU rRNA
Rfam family: Bacterial small subunit ribosomal RNA
Source: RNAcentral